GUGGGGAAUCUUCCGCAAUGGACGAAAGUCUGACGGAGCAACGCCGCGUGAGUGAAGAAGGUUUUCGGAUCGUAAAGCUCUUUCGUUAGGGACGAACGUGCUCUUUGUGAAUAAUGAGGAGUAAUGACGGUACCUAAAUAAGAAGCCACGGCUAACUACGUGCCAGCAGCCGCGGUAAUACGUAGGUGGCAAGCGGUGUCCGGAAUUAUUGGGCGUAAAGCGCGCGCAGGCGGGAUAUCAAGUCUGUCUUAAAAGUGCGAGGCUCAACCUCGUGAGGGGACAGAAACUGGUAUUCUUGAGUGUCGGAGAGGAAAGUGGAAUUCCAAGUGUAGCGGUGAAAUGCGUAGAGAUUUGGAAGAACACCAGUGGCGAAGGCGACUUUCUGGACGAUGUCUGACGCUGAGGCGCGAAAGCUAGGGGAGCGAACGGGAUUAGAAACCCGAGUAGUCC
This 450-nucleotide ribosomal RNA is filed under the name uncultured bacterium. RNAcentral describes it as "partial 16S ribosomal RNA". It matches the Rfam family "Bacterial small subunit ribosomal RNA", at positions 354 to 796 of the family's 1533-position model. The record is from RNAcentral.